GACGAACGCUGGCGGCGUGCUUAACACAUGCAAGUCGAACGGAAAGGCCCUGCUUGCAGGGUACUCGAGUGGCGAACGGGUGAGUAACACGUGGGUGAUCUGCCCUGCACUUCGGGAUAAGCUUGGGAAACUGGGUCUAAUACCGGAUAGGAGCCAUCUUUAGUGUGGUGGUUGGAAAGUUUUUUCGGUGUAGGAUGAGCUCGCGGCCUAUCAGCUUGUUGGUGGGGUAAUGGCCUACCAAGGCGGCGACGGGUAGCCGGCCUGAGAGGGUGUACGGCCACAUUGGGACUGAGAUACGGCCCAGACUCCUACGGGAGGCAGCAGUGGGGAAUAUUGCACAAUGGGGGCAAGCCUGAUGCAGCGACGCCGCGUGGGGGAUGAAGGCCUUCGGGUUGUAAACUCCUUUCGCUAGGGACGAAGCUUUUUGUGACGGUACCUAGAUAAGAAGCACCGGCUAACUACGUG
Molecule: ribosomal RNA, 465 nt
Filed under: uncultured bacterium
Lineage: Bacteria
Description: partial 16S ribosomal RNA
Rfam family: Bacterial small subunit ribosomal RNA
Source: RNAcentral